UCAUCCUCUCCCAGUGGUCUCUCACCGUUCAUCUAGUAGACGUGCAUACAAUACGUCUGUUGACUCGUUUUUGUUAUGCGCUGUGCCUUGUUUUCAUUGUAGCAAGUAGUUGAUUUGACUCGCAUUCCCAUUCUCAUGGUUAUUUUGAUUUCAAGACACACACACACACACACAAACAGAUUUGUUCCUCCCGUUUUCAAUUUGCCUCAGACAAAGUCAUUGUCAGUAGAGAUAUCAAGACCAUCAUUAUAAAAAUGUGAGUUUAUUGAAUUCAAUGGCUGUGUUUCGUCCAAAGUGCACCUUUAGUAGGCUACGGCGUAAUGAGAUCAACGACGAGAGUCACGACUGAGAUCACUGGUAAACUGACUGAGGUUUCGUUACAGAAGAUGAGAUCAAAUAACUGGCCAUACAUUUUCCAGUUCAACACUGAGGAAUGGAAACAUACGUAGUGCAUGAUUGAGAACAAAGAAAGGCAAAACAACACAAUGAAACGCUCUGGUGUGAUAUGCAAUUACGAUAGCUACUCUACUUUCAAGAAAUUAGGACAUUCUUUUUUCCAGCGACUGUCCUCGCAGUUUGCUGUUGAAAGAACAUCACGUGCUAAAAACGUGCUGGUGCAGGACAAUACGCGGUUUAAAGAAAUAUUUAAAUAAAUGGCAAAAGACUGACACGAUUUGUAGAAGAAAAAUCAAUCCAAAAUGUGAGGUUAAUCGGAAGAACGUAGCGAGGAAAGAAAAAGAAAAA
Long non-coding RNA from Daphnia magna, 744 nucleotides. RefSeq lists it as uncharacterized. The record is from RefSeq and is a predicted model, not a curated record. Lineage: Eukaryota; Metazoa; Arthropoda; Branchiopoda; Diplostraca; Daphniidae. The transcript is spliced from 2 exons.